GACGAACGCUGGCGGCGUGCUUAACACAUGCAAGUCGAACGGAAAGGCCUGCUUUCCCUUGUGGAUUGCGGGUACUCGAGUGGCGAACGGGUGAGUAACACGUGAGUGAUCUGCCCCCAACUUGGGUAUAAGCCUGGGAAACUGGGUCUAAUUCCCGAUAGGACUGCAGGGUGGUGCCUGUGGUGGAAAACGAUUUUCUAGUGGUUGGGGAUGAGCUCGCGGCCUAUCAGCUUGUUGGUGGGGUAAUGGCCUACCAAGGCGGCGACGGGUAGCCGGCCUGGGAGGGUGGACGGCCACAGUGGGACUGAGAUACGGCCCAGACUCCUACGGGAGGCAGCAGUGGGGAAUAUUGCACCAUGGGCGGAAGCCUGAUGCAGCGACGCCGCGUGGGGGAUGACGGCCUUCGGGUUGUAAACUCCUUUCGACCGCGAGGAAGCCACCUGGUUGGAAGGGUGGUGACGGUAGUGGUAGAAGAAGCACCGGCUAACUACGUG
This 494-nucleotide ribosomal RNA is filed under the name uncultured bacterium. Its description in RNAcentral is "partial 16S ribosomal RNA". It matches the Rfam family "Bacterial small subunit ribosomal RNA", at positions 28 to 507 of the family's 1533-position model. The record is from RNAcentral.